RNAcentral lists this transfer RNA (72 nucleotides) under Planktomarina temperata RCA23. RNAcentral's name for it is "tRNA-Asn". The stretch from base 4 to 61 matches the Rfam family "tRNA", at positions 9 to 63 of the family's 71-position model. From Rfam's summary of the family: Transfer RNA (tRNA) molecules are approximately 80 nucleotides in length. Lineage: Bacteria; Pseudomonadati; Pseudomonadota; Alphaproteobacteria; Rhodobacterales; Paracoccaceae. The record is from RNAcentral.
UACGGUUCUUUAUGGUAGAACAGUUGACUGUUAAUCAAUUGGUCGUAGGUUCGAUCCCUACCGCCGGAGCCA